This is a long non-coding RNA of Ictalurus furcatus (blue catfish), 1806 nucleotides long. RefSeq lists it as uncharacterized. NCBI's taxonomy places the organism in Eukaryota, Metazoa, Chordata, Actinopteri, Siluriformes, Ictaluridae. The transcript is spliced from 3 exons. The record is from RefSeq and is a predicted model, not a curated record.
UUUUAAAAUCAUUAAGCACUUAAAAGUCAUUAGACUCAAAUAAACCGUAUAACGAUUGUUAAAAAUAGCUUAAGUAAUCAUUUGAGAGCUACAACAAUGAUAAGCCACUUACAUUUAUAGAUAAAGCUCCCUGAGAGUUCGUCUGUGUUACGCCACGGCCAGCAGAGGGCACUGCGGCACGGCUUCUGACUGGUCACGUGACUCUUUUGUUUUCGUUUGCUUCCUGCUUGGACAUUGAUUUAAGUCUGAUCAUGUCUCUGAUUUGCCCCAGGUGUCCAUGUUUUGGUUUGAUUAUGUUGACUAUUUAAACCCCUCGGUGACUGCGCACUUCGCGUAGUAUUAUUUGGUUUACAUUUGUCAUGUCGAGGAAGUAUGACGGUAUGUGCUAACGUGUAGUAUGCUAGCGGUCGUAGCUAGAUGUCCAGAGUUUGUAUAGUCAGUAGAGACCGCGCUCCCUGUGUUUGUUUGUCUGCUAAUUAAUAAAGACUUUGACCUACACCUGCAUCCGCCUCCAGUCCCGUUUCGUAACAGUCUGAGAACAAGGACAUAUAGGGAGAAAAUUAACAGGGAUCCAUGCAGAAGGAAGGCGAUCCUAAGAGAACGACGGAGAAAACAGAUGCAGGGAAACGGGGCUCAGGGAAACAAAGAUGAGGAAUAUACACACCAGACAAAAUGUUCCUGUAAACUUCUGAAUUCAUUCUGCACUACAAUCAUGAGUUACAUCAUCAAUAAAGAUAAGUGAGCCUGUUCCAGAAGCAGCCAUGCAAGCCUUGGCUCACCUGUUCUAUGUCUGAUUGUUUAUACACAAGUAGUUCUUUCUUUGUGAGGAUAUUCCAAAUUGUUUUAAUGGCUAUGUCCAAUGUUUGUGUAAUGAGUCUGAUAGAUUUUCCCUCUUUUCUCAGCUACAAAAUGGUUUGCUUUUCUCCCAUAGACAGUUCCCUGGUCUUCAUUAUGUUUUAUCCUUUAACAAAUGCAGACUUCACAGGUGAAACCUAGGGCUCAAACCAAGAGUGGACAUUCAGAGCUAUUAAUUCUUUAAACAAUCAAUUUCAAGUUGUUUAACACAUCUAGAUGUAAAUAUGAGAAAAUGAAAGCUGAAAUUCUGUUCUAUCAUCGUAUAUCCAUCUUUUGAUCUCAAACCCAAAUGUAUUCAAUGUAUAGCAAAAACAAUAGAAUUGGCCUUACUGUUCAAAUAAUUUCCGAGGGGAGUGUAUUUUUUUUUUAAAGAGAUUAAUCAGUUAAAAUGAUAUAUUACCACACACACACACACACACACACACACACACACUGCUCAUGGCAACCCAAUAAUUUACUAAGACACUUCAUGUUAUUUUACUUUUCAUUUGUCAUAUAUGUCAUAUAAUUCAUAAUUUGUCAUAUACAUUCAGGUACAUAUACACAGACAGGAGGUGCAAGAGAACAACAGACUGGAGCAACCAUCUGCAGAUGGUGCAGACAGCAACUACCCAACUUCUCUCUAUAGACUAUACAAAAAAAAAACUGAGUUACUUGAGGCAAGUACUUAAGAUAAAAAAGUCAAACCUACAGAUAAAUGCUAAAUAUUGGUCUUCUGUAUGACUGAUAAAAUAGCUAGAAUACAGUAAUGUCACUCCUUUUGUUUGUGGCUCUUUAAACUAAAGUUUUAGGUUUUGCCUCUUUGAUUCACAUACAAUUAAACUGUCUGUUUAAAAUGUUUUGUAGAAAAUAAAGUAAAAGCUAUAGAUAAAAGCUAAGAUCUUCUGUAAGACAUAGAAAAAAUACAGUAAUGUUAGCUUACUUCUUUCGUUUACACUUGUGUGUUUAAUU